AAAUUUUAAGCUUUUUCUUCCUUUAAAUUAGCUUAACUAAUUUUCAUGAGUGUUAUCCAAGUUUUUCAAAGUUGGGGAGCUUGGAGAAUUCUUCUUGAGCCAAAGAGUUUGGAUUGACUUAUCAGGUAAGUCGUGACAUUUUUUUUUCUUCUUUUACUUUCCCUAUUAUCUUAUUUUUGCAUGCCAUAUAGGUGGGUGU
RNAcentral lists this long non-coding RNA (199 nucleotides) under Carica papaya (papaya). Its description in RNAcentral is "long non-coding RNA (CPAP_LNC010938)". Lineage: Eukaryota; Viridiplantae; Streptophyta; Magnoliopsida; Brassicales; Caricaceae. The record is from RNAcentral.